AAAAUGUCGUAGAUGAAGAGAGUAGUCUGGUUCAGAAGUAAAGCGAGCUAGGGAUGGUGAGAGCCUAGUACGGAGAAACGGAUGAAGCGCACUUCGGAGACGCUGCUUGAAAUGAAUAGUAGAGUAAGCCGGGGCCCCCUGUCCUCGUUAUAAACGGGAAAGUGGUUCUUCGGAACAACAAGGGUGGUACCACGGGUGAUAACUCGUCUCUUUU
Molecule: non-coding RNA, 214 nt
Filed under: Bacillus cereus
Lineage: Bacteria; Bacillati; Bacillota; Bacilli; Caryophanales; Bacillaceae
Description: T-box sequence
Rfam family: T-box leader
About the family: Uncharged tRNA acts as the effector for transcription antitermination of genes in the T-box leader family. T-boxes are found upstream of many aminoacyl-tRNA synthetase genes and some amino acid biosynthetic genes usually in Gram-positive bacteria.
Source: RNAcentral